Molecule: small nuclear RNA, 114 nt
Organism: Vulpes vulpes (red fox)
Lineage: Eukaryota; Metazoa; Chordata; Mammalia; Carnivora; Canidae
Source: Ensembl
GGGCUUGUGCUUCCUUGAGCUGCCCAUAUAUUAAAAUUGGAAUAAAAACAGAGAAGAUUAGCAUGGGCCCUAGGCAAGGAUGAUAUGCAAAUUUGUGAACCAUUCCAUAUUUUU